Molecule: small RNA, 272 nt
Filed under: Jaculus jaculus (lesser Egyptian jerboa)
Lineage: Eukaryota; Metazoa; Chordata; Mammalia; Rodentia; Dipodidae
Description: 7SK RNA (ENSJJAG00000002548.1)
Rfam family: 7SK RNA
About the family: 7SK was discovered as an abundant small nuclear RNA in the mid-70s but a possible function has only recently been suggested. Two independent studies have found that 7SK RNA binds the CDK9/cyclin T complex (known as elongation factor P-TEFb).
Source: Rfam by way of RNAcentral
AUGGGUCAUGGGGAAUUGAGCCUUCAACCAGGGUCCUUAGGCUUCACAUGCAAUCACUUAAUUACUGAUCUGGUUGGGUAGAUGGUUAUCUUUUUCCUCCCUCACUGCUGUGAGGCCCUCCCAAAGCUGCAUGCUGGGUCAGAGGGCCAUCCCCAACCCCCAUAAAGGACCAGUCUUCAGUCAAGGGUACACAAGUAGCUGCGUUCCCUGCUAGAACCUCCAAACAAUCUCUCAAAGGGUAAGUUGGGGGGGGGGGAGANNNNNNNNNNNNN